RNAcentral lists this ribosomal RNA (500 nucleotides) under uncultured bacterium. Its description in RNAcentral is "partial 16S ribosomal RNA". It matches the Rfam family "Bacterial small subunit ribosomal RNA", at positions 30 to 523 of the family's 1533-position model. The record is from RNAcentral.
AUUGAACGCUGGCGGAAUGCUUUACACAUGCAAGUCGAACGGCAGCACGGACUUCGGUCUGGUGGCGAGUGGCGAACGGGUGAGUAAUGUAUCGGAACGUGCCCAGUCGUGGGGGAUAACGUAGUGAAAAUUACGCUAAUACCGCAUACGAUCUAUGGAUGAAAGCGGGGGAUCGCAAGACCUCGCGCGAUUGGAGCGGCCGAUAUCAGAUUAGGUAGUUGGUGGGGUAAAGGCCCACCAAGCCAACGAUCUGUAGCUGGUCUGAGAGGACGACCAGCCACACUGGAACUGAGACACGGUCCAGACUCCUACGGGAGGCAGCAGUGGGGAAUUUUGGACAAUGGGCGAAAGCCUGAUCCAGCCAUUCCGCGUGCAGGAUGAAGGCCCUCGGGUUGUAAACUGCUUUUGUACAGAACGAAAAGGCUUCUACUAAUACUAGGAGCUCAUGACGGUACUGUAAGAAUAAGCACCGGCUAGCUACGUGCCAGCAGCCGCGGUAA